RNAcentral lists this ribosomal RNA (431 nucleotides) under Paccius sp. SP52. RNAcentral describes it as "partial 16S ribosomal RNA". The record is from RNAcentral. Lineage: Eukaryota; Metazoa; Arthropoda; Arachnida; Araneae; Trachelidae.
UUUUAUUAAAUAAUUAAUAAUACAAUCUGCUCAAUGAUAUUUAAAUAGCCGCAAAUUCUGUGCUAAGGUAGCAUAAUAAUUCGUUUUUUAAUUGAAAACCAGAACAAAAGAUUAAACAAUUUAUAAUAUAUAUAUAAUAUAUUUUUAUAAAUUCUUUUAAAUGUAAAAAAACAUUUAUCCAAUAGAUAGACGAUAAGACCCUAUUGAACUUAACUUAAGUUAAACUGGGGAAGUUCAUUAAUUAUAAUUUUAAUUUACAACAAAAAUGACCUAAUUAAUUUAAUUUUAUAAUCAAGUUACCAUAGGGAUAACAGCGCAAUUAUUAUAUAAAGAUCUUAUUACAAUAAUAGAUUACGACCUCGAUGUUGAUUAAUUUCCUCUAUAUUGCAAUAAAUAUACAAGAAAGUCUGUUCGACUUUUAAUAAAUUACA